RNAcentral lists this ribosomal RNA (253 nucleotides) under uncultured bacterium. RNAcentral describes it as "partial 16S ribosomal RNA". It matches the Rfam family "Bacterial small subunit ribosomal RNA", at positions 524 to 776 of the family's 1533-position model. The record is from RNAcentral.
UACGAGUGCCCCGAGCGUUAUCCGGAAUCAUUGGGCGUAAAGGAUGUGUAGGUGGUCUUAUUAGUCUUUUGUUAAAUUCUUCGGCUUAACCGGGGUUCUGCAAGGGAAACGGUAAGACUUGAGGAUGCGAGGGGUGUGCGGAACUCAUGGUGUAGGGGUGAAAUCUGUUGAUAUCAUGGGGAACACCAAAAGCGAAGGCAGCACACUGGAGCACUCCUGACACUGAAACAUGAAAGCGUGGGUAGCGAAUGGG